This 442-nucleotide ribosomal RNA is filed under the name uncultured bacterium. RNAcentral describes it as "partial 16S ribosomal RNA". It matches the Rfam family "Bacterial small subunit ribosomal RNA", at positions 338 to 795 of the family's 1533-position model. The record is from RNAcentral.
CCUACGGGUGGCAGCAGUGGGGAAUAUUGCACAAUGGGGGAAACCCUGAUGCAGCAACGCCGCGUGAAGGAAGACGGUUUUCGGAUUUUAAACUGCUUUUAUAAGCGAGAAAUAUGAUGGUACCUUAUGAAUAAGGUUCGGCUAACUACGUGCCCGCAGCCGCGGUCAUACGUAGGAUCCGAGCAUUAUCCGGAGUGACUGGGAGUAAAGAGUUGUGUAGGUGGCAUAAUAAGUAGCUAGUGAAAUCUGGUGGCUCAAACAUUCAGACUAUUAGCUAAACUGUUAAGCGCGAGACCGUUGUGGGUAAGUGGAAUUUGUAGUGUAGGAGUGAAAUCCGUAGAUAUUAGAAGGAACACCAAUAGCGAAGGCAGGUUACUGAGACGGUUCUGACACUAAGGCACGAAAGCGUAGGGAGCAAACGGGAUUAGAUACCCCUGUAGUC